CAGCAGCCACGGUAAUACGGAGGGUGCAAGCGUUAAUCGGAAUUACUGGGCGUAAAGCGCACGCAGGCGGUCUGUCAAGUCGGAUGUGAAAUCCCCGGGCUCAACCUGGGAACUGCAUUCGAAACUGGCAGGCUAGAGUCUUGUAGAGGGGGGUAGAAUUCCAGGUGUAGCGGUGAAAUGCGUAGAGAUCUGGAGGAAUACCGGUGGCGAAGGCGGCCCCCUGGACAAAGACUGACGCUCAGGUGCGAAAGCGUUGGGAGCAAACAGGAUUAGAUACCCGUGUAGUCCCUGUCUCUUAUAC
RNAcentral lists this ribosomal RNA (301 nucleotides) under uncultured bacterium. RNAcentral describes it as "partial 16S ribosomal RNA". It matches the Rfam family "Bacterial small subunit ribosomal RNA", at positions 509 to 807 of the family's 1533-position model. The record is from RNAcentral.